RNAcentral lists this small RNA (2088 nucleotides) under Pongo abelii (Sumatran orangutan). Its description in RNAcentral is "retained intron". The record is from RNAcentral. Lineage: Eukaryota; Metazoa; Chordata; Mammalia; Primates; Hominidae.
CUUUCUUGAUGCCGUUACGUGCAUGGAUUUUUUCCCAGGAUUAAAUUUGGAAGGCUAUCCUAACAGAGACAGUACAAAAUAUGCUGAGAUUUAUGGCAUUUCUUCUGCUCACACUUUGUUGCGGGGGACACUGAGAUAUAAGGGAUUGGAAUGCUGAAUAAUGGAUUGGAAUGUUGAAUAAUGUUGAAUACCUUCCUAUGGUAUCCUCCCUAACUCCUUCCCCUUGAACCACCCAGCCCCAUCUAUGGAUAUAUGAAAGCUUUGAAUGGAUUUGUAAAAUUAGGUCUAAUAAACAGAGAAGCACUUCCUGCCUUUAGACCUGAGGGCAACCCUCUCACCUGGAAACAACUCCUCUGUGACCUAGUUGGGAUUUCACCUUCCUCUGAGCACGAUGUGUUGAAGGAAGCUGUUCUUAAGAAACUAGGAGGAGACAAUGCCCAGUUGGAGGCUGCUGAAUGGUAGGCACCCACCACUCAACUUAGAGCAAAAUAUACUGGCUCAAUGAUUGCUAAUUUCUACUCAAAAAAAGUUAAAUAUUUUACAUUUGUCUUUGAUUAAUUUGUUGCUCUAAUGUGGGUAGAGAGAUUACCAUGUGCCAUGUUCAUGUAGGCAUAAAGAGUAGAUAAAGAGAGGAGCUCAAUGGCAAUUAUAAUUUGAGAAAUGCUUAUCUGGAAACACUUUACCACUCAGUUCCCAAGCAUAGUGGGGUAUUUUUGCUUUCCUGUAGGAGAUUCUGAGUAGUCAGAGAAUAUUACAUUAAAACAUUCUUUCAUAUGACUGCUGUGGCAUCCUGCUGGUAUACUUAAUGUUGGAGAACUAACCUAUAAACUAGUCUCAUAAAGAGUUUUGUAAGGACAUGGGAUUACCAUCCAUCAUCUCUGCCCUGCUCCAGGGAGCAGUGCCUGGGUGAGUCUGGAGAUGAUUCUGAAGGUUAAAACAUUGCUAUUGUUAUUGUUAUUUUACACUUUAGGAGAAUCCUACAACUUGAGUUACCAUCUUGUAAUUCUGCCCCUUCAAGAUUAAAUUCAAGGGGCUCCCUUUUGCUUCCCAAAUGAGAACAUGUAUAGGACUUGAACUAAUGCAGCCAUCUCCUGUGCUUUUCAGGUUGGGCUUACUUGGAGAUGAACAAGUCCCUCAGGCAGAAUCCAUUCUGGAUGCCCUCUCCAAGCAUUUGGUCAUGAAGCUUUCCUAUGGUCCUGAAGAAAAAGAUAUGAUUGUGAUGAGAGACAGCUUUGGAAUCAGACAUCCUUCUGGACAUUUAGAACAUAAAACGAUUGAUCUUGUGGCAUAUGGGGACAUCAAUGGCUUUUCAGCCAUGGCUAAAACCGUGGGGUUACCCACCGCCAUGGCAGCCAAAAUGUUGCUUGAUGGUGAAAUUGGAGCCAAAGGCCUAAUGGGGCCCUUUUCAAAGGAGAUCUAUGGACCAAUAUUGGAGCGAAUUAAAGCAGAAGGCAUUAUAUAUACUACACGGAGUACAAUUAAACCAUAAUUGAGAAUUAUAUUUUGUUUUUUUCUUCCCAGGCAAUACACCUCUGAACAUGUGUGUGAUAAGUGGGUUUGCUAAUGUGCUGUUUUAAAGUAUAAAGCAUAAUAUGUUUUGGUUAACACAAUGUACUUUUUGAACUAUAUAUCUUUAUUUUAAUGUGGAAAUGUUUGGAACAGGAGAUGCCAGCCACUAACAGAGAACUUUAAUAAUUCUACCCUGUAUUUUAUAAAUAUGUAUGUGAAAGUGAUGAUCGUGCUAUUUGUUAAUUUAUUGUGCCACUUUUUUCUUAAAUGAACGUAUUGUCUUAUAACCAGCAGAUGAAGUUUUACUUUUUUAGUCAGAAAAAAUUUCCUCAUAAAGCUAUAUUUUUAUAUUUUUAAAAUUGAUACAGUUAGGUACCUUUAGAUUACCUAUCUGUAAGUUUUUGCCAAAAUGCUGUUUUAUGCCCUUUUUGUAAAGUUAUGAUUUAUUUUGUAAAUGUAAUUCCUUAUAGUUUUCUCUUGAGUGUUUGGAAAUGAGAAUAGAUAAGAUUAAAUUACAAUUUACAAGAUCACUUCAUUAGGCACAGGAAAAGUAUUUAACAAAACUCAACACCCUUUUAC